Molecule: long non-coding RNA, 6770 nt
Filed under: Glycine max (soybean)
Lineage: Eukaryota; Viridiplantae; Streptophyta; Magnoliopsida; Fabales; Fabaceae
Description: long non-coding RNA (GMAX_LNC003868)
Source: RNAcentral
ACUGUUAGCAUAAUAUUGUAGUUAGAUGACUAAUUCGAACAAUGAUUGUAAUGAUUAUAUAUUAGGAGAUAAUGGCAGCACUAUGGAUGAGUAAUUACCUGUGGAAAUUAUGAGAGCUUGCGCAGUGUGAUUGAGAUUGGCUUUUGCCCAAGGUAGCAUCCUUACACUAGCCAGCUGCAUAUGAUCAAGUAUUAUUCCAGUUAGUUUUUUUACAGAAAAUCUCUAUUGGAAUAUUAAGAAGUGGUUAUUUCAAAUGUAAAUCGAUCCUGAUUCUUGAGAACUUUAUGUCCAAAAUAAUUGAAUGAACCAAAGAAAAUUGAACAGGUGGAAAGAGUACUUACAGUUGGAAUGGCAGUUGCAAUAGUAGCAACAACUGCAGCCUUGGCUCCUGCCAUCACACCCUCUGUUUACACACAGAUGAAAAAUGUAAAUUAAAACCAAACGAAAUUCAGAUAUCGUGAAAUUUACAAAUCUCAUAAUGAACAUAAUUCUGAACCACAUAUACGGUCGAAAACUUAUCAGUCCAGACAUGAAAUAAGAAGGAAAGGAAAACAUAAUGCUUUUACACUCGGAGAAAAGCAUACAUUACCAUGGGAACAGCGCUUGGCCAUGGCCAACUUUUGAUCCAGAGAAGCCAAGGUACUCCUCUCAAAAGAAGAAUUAGCAGCGACAUUUCUUUUGGCCAUCUUAAAAAAAUGAUUGAGCAAAAAAAAAAAACAGCUAAGAAUUGAAGAAAUGUUAGUAAACAGAUGAACAACUGAAGUAGGUUUGGAUGAAGAGUUGCUGAAGUUGCUGGCAUAUUUAUACUGAGAUUGGACGAAGAAAAUAAAUCAUUAAUUUAGGUGGCCCUGUCUGUGGCAGGGGAGGAGUUUGAUGGUUUGAACUGAAAUCCACCGUCUCAGACAGCUGUUUUCACUUGGGUUUCUGUUUCAGUCGGUUGAUGCUUUUACUGUUCCCUAAAUACUACUACUUUAUUUUUCAUAAGAUAAGAUUGUUAAUGAAAACAGUUUUAUCCAAAUUCGUGCACGUGAAGGAUUCUGGUACCUGAAAAUGCCAACGUGGCCCUAUCCUAUUAAAUGCAGGAAGUAAACAUUGUACUUAGUCUACUACUUACGUUAUCCACUGAUUCCGGUCGAGUGACAAAAAAAUCCAUAAAAUAAAUUGAUAUUCUGUCUUUUUAUCCCUGAUCCUGUAUAUAUGUUUACUUUGCCGCAUUCUAGUACGAUAAAGAAAAGUUGCACGUCAGGAGCAUAUCGUGUUGAAGGAAAAUUACGUUUGGAAGGAAAAUUACGUUGUUUAGUUAUAGCAAUUACAGUUUAUUGUAUUUGGUUGUCUAGGAACAAGCUAAUUUUUGAAGAUGAUCAAUUUUCUGUAAUAGAGGUUAUUAGCAAGAUUAAAUUUCUUAUGUAUAGACAAACGCACAUGUUACAUUUAUUUUAACAUCUUGAUAUAGGUCUUCUUGUAUUAGAGAGAUUUUUGAUUUUCUUUAACUGCGGGGUAUGCCCCGUUUAUUAUUGUAUCAUUUUGGGUUUAAUAUAAUUUACAUUUUUUCCCAAAAAAAAAGAAAAGUUCCUUUUCGCAAGGUAUUUUAUUUUUUUUAAUGCAUUACUAAAUAUUUAAUUAGGGGUAAAUCCAUAUUAGGUGUUUAUGGAAAAUUUGAUUGUCUUGACUACAGCAAUUAUAGUUUACUGCAUCUGAAUUUCUAAGAACAAGUUAAUUUUUGAAGAUUAUCAAAUUUUUAUAAUAGAGGUUAUUAGUAAGAUUAAAUUUCUUAUAUACAAACAAGCGCAACUGCAAUUGUUUUAACAUCUUGAUAUAAGCCUUAUUAUAUUAGGAAGACUUUUGAUUUUCUCUAACCGCGGGGUAUGCCCCGUUUAUUGUUGUAUCAUUUUGAGUUUAAUAUAAUUUACAUUUUUCUUAAAAAAAAAAGUUUUUUUUUUGGCAACGGCAACUGUAGAAGCUGGUUGUUUUGACCGAAGAUGACCAAAAACCAUUGGCAUUGCAUUGAUCCCAACAACCAGAUAUUUAAACCAAACAUAAAAGAGUAGAAAGGAAGCAUUAGUUUUCAUAAAAUUGGUCUAAAUUAUCACAAUAUAGAAUUUUUCAUAAUUUAGAUCAAUUUUCAUUUUAUUCAUAAGCAAGUUUUAUUUAAUUUUUCAUAAAUUAAAAAAUUAAACUACAUGCUAUAUAGAAAUUAAACAUAGUAAUAAUUUUUCGGUUGGGUUAGCACUUAGGCCCGUUGGAUCUUUCUGAGAGCAAUGCAACACAUGUCCAACUCAACACGUGCUAUAGUGCUGGCAAUCGCACUCACAGAAAGAGUGUCUGUACGACAUUGUUUGGUAUACUUAUUAUUUUUGGCCGUAGUGGGUGACCUCUCUAGACUCUAGCCAAUCGCAGAGUUGAUCGUCCACUUCUUGGCUAACCUUGAGAGUUGAGACAGUUGCUCUCUCUUCUGCUAUUUCCGCAUUUAAGUUGGACACUUUGACUAGAUGUUGAUAUGUCCUUGUGAAAUAUAUAUGAUGUAUUUUAAAGAUAUUAAAAGAAAAAUAUGACUACAUAUGGACAACAUAAAAUCAUUUAAUUAGUAUAAAAUUACUAUUAAUAUAACUUUAUAUAUAUAUAUAUAUAUAUAUAUAUAUAUAUAUAUAUAAUGGUCUAUAAUUGAAUGAUAAUGUGAAAAAUUUAUUGAAAUAAUAUUAGUAAGCAUUGUUUUAUACCAAAGCAUUUGUAAGGAUUAUAUAUUAUUUAAUAAGUCAUCUCUAUAUGCCUGAAAAUGCAUGAGUAAUCAAAAUAAUAUUAAUUUUGUGUUGUGAAAUUCAAUCAUUGAAAAGAUAAAUAUUAUGAAGAUUUAUAUCAAUAAAUCAUAAACAAUUAAAUACUGAAUCUUAAUAUCACAUUUUAAUUUAAAAUUUUAAGACUCAACUUUAUGAGUCAUUUUCUCACUUAUAUGAUGUUUAACAUUUUUAUUUCUAUCCGAUGUGAAAAUUACUUUAUACUUGUACUCCAAGAAUCUCCUCCUAGAUAUAAGUUUCUUUUACAUGAUAGUCUUCCUCUUGAACGGAAAUCAUUUUUACUUUAUAAGUAUCUAGUGAUGAUUCUUAGAUUAUUGCUCUCUUUCUUAGUUAAUAUUUAAAAUUAUGAAAUUGCUUAAAUAAUUUUAAAAAUAUUGAAUAAUUAUCACUUUAGUCUCUUGAUGUAUUUAAAGAUUAAUUGAAAUAGUUUUUUUUAUAAAAAAAAAAAACACGUGGAGGACUACAUGCCAUCAUUCCUACUACUUUCAAGUCUACUUAGUUUAUUUUUUACUUUAGGAACUGAUUAAGAGUGAGAGUAACACUUCAAAGAUGAAAUUGUUGGUUACAAUAAUCAUGCCAUCUUUUUUUACAUAGAAAUCAUUAUGUGUUUGAUUUUCAUUUCUUUUGUCAAAAUUUCAAUUUGUUUAUAAAUUAUUUUGUCUAAAAUAAAUUAAACUGAAAAUAUACAUUUAACAUAUAAAAAUAAUAUGUUCGAUGAGAAAUAUGGAAAAGAAGCUAUUUGGGGUGUUCUCUGCUUAAUGUUUGUAGGAUUCAUGGAUAGUUUGAGUUGCGUGAAUACGUUGCAGAACACCUCUUUUUAUUAGAGGAGAAAAUGCAGGAGCUGGCAGAUUGAUGAUGUUGUGCAUGAGUUCCUUGUUGGUGAUAAUUUCCACCCAGAAUGAAAAUAUUCAUAGGAUGCUGGAUGAGCUAAUAUCCAAGAUCUUCAAUAGGGAGAUAAUCGCAAGAGAUAGAAAUCUUUUACACCAUUUCUCAAAGAUGGGUUUUGUUCAUGCAAUGACUGCUGGUGAAACUUUAUCUGUUUGUUCAAUGGAAUACAUGAUAUAUACGCACUUUGUGUAGAAGAAAGAUGAACGAUUUGCAUUCAUGUAAUUAGCUGAUAAUUGGUACACAUGUAUGUGCUCUCUCUCAGUAUAGAAAUGAAAACCCCUCCUUUAUUAUAAAUACAUACAUAUACAUAUGUGAUGAGUUCCAUGGUUGGGUUAAUGCUAACAUAGCCCAACGUAGUGCAGCCGAACCCAGCAUCCAAGUUAUCCAUUUGGAAUUCAUGCAUUGGAGGGUGGGUUGAAGGAGUUCUUUCUUGCAGUUGCCAAAACGGUCUUGUGAGCUACUAUAAAAUAUGCUGCUCCCGCCACUGUUUACACAAUAUGGUAGUUAGAUGACUAAUUAGAAAAAUGAUAGUAAUAUGGUUAAUUAUGAGAAGAUCAUGCAUGGCAGCACUAUAUAUGGAUGAGUCAUAUUUACCUGUGGAAAAUUAUGAGAGCUUGAGCAGUGUGAUUGAGAUUGGCUCUUGCCCUAGGUAACAUCCUUACACUAGCCAGCUGCAUAUGAAGCACAAUUAAUUCAAGGUAGUUAUUUUCAAAAAUCUCUGUUUGAAUAUUAAGAGGAGGUUAUUUUAAAUGUAAACUGGUCAUGAUUCAUGAGAACUUUAUGUCCAAAGUAAUUGAAUGCAACAAAGAAAAUUGAAUAGGUGGAAGGAGUACUUACAGUUGGUAUGGUAGUGGCAAUAGUAGCAACAACAGUUGCCUUGGCUCCUGCCAUCACCCUCUGUUUUCAUACAAAUGAAAAAUGUAAAUUAAAACCAUGUAACUUUCAGAUAGUUUACAAACUCAUCAAUGCCCAUAAAAUGCUGAACCAUAUACACACACGGUCCAAAACAUAUCAGUCCAGGCAUAAAAUAAGGGAAAGAAAACAGAAUAUUGCAUUAACACUCUCAAAGUAUACUACAUUACCAUGAGAGCAGCGCUUGGCCAUGGCCAACUUUAGAUCCAGGGAAGCCAAGCUAGUCCUUUCAAAGAAGAAUUAGAACCAACAUUUCUCUUAGCCAUCUUAAAAAAAAUUGAUUGAACAAAAGCUAAGAAUGGAAGAAAUGUUAGUAAUAAAGAGAUGAAUAACUGAAGUAGCUUUGGAUGAAGAGUUGCUGCUGAAGUUGCUGGCAUAUUUAUACUGAGAUUUGGUGAAGAAAAGAAAUCAUUGAUUUAAAAUCAUAUUGCCAAAAAAGAGAAGGGUGGCCCCGCAGGGGGGAGUUCGAUGGUUUCAACUAAAAUCCACCGUCUCCAACAGUUGUUUUCACUUUGGUUUCUCAUUUACUCUACUUUAUAGUAUUUCAUAAUGUGAUGUAAAUGAAAUUAAUUUUCUUGGUUGGUCAUGUUUUCACGUAAUUAGUGCUUCCUUAUAUAUGCAUAUUUAAUUCAUGCUUUCCCUGCAUGCCCCUGCUCUGUACUUAGCAUAGAAGAAGCCAUAUUUCACCACGCAGCAGCAAUUCCUGACCUGAUUUAUUGUCUUAUUGUCCCUUCGAUCUUUCAUUUUCAUAAAAAUAAAAUAAUUUGGAAAAAUAAAUAAAAUGAAUACACGAGAAAAGGAAAUAGAAAGAACAGCAGAAUAUAUUGUCUUACAAGUCAUAGCCUUACUAUCCAUGGAUAGGUUCCUCUCAAUAAUGUAUAGGAAUCACGUAAAGAUGGACAAAAGGAUAAAUAUGUGUGUGUUUGUGUAAACGACAAAGGAAUGAAGAGAAAGUUACUCGUUGCACCUCUAUAAAGAUUGAUAGUGUGUCGUGCAUGGCUUCCUUGUUGAUGAUUAGUUCCAUGAUCCACAGAUGGAAAAUAUUUAUAGAAUUCUGGAUGAGGUAGAUAUAUACUAGCUAAUCUCUUGGAGGAGACUGUGUUUGUGCCUCAUACUUUUGAGGAGCGGAAGGAAGGAGCUUUGAUUCAACGCGGUGAUAAGUUGGCUAUUGCUUUUGGUUUGAUAAGCACAAAGCCGGUGACUACAUUAAUUAUGAUCGUGAAGAACCUACUUCGUCUUUGUGGAAAUUUCCAUCUGGCAUCCAAACUAAUAUCCAAGAUCUUGAAUAGGGAGAUAAUUACACUUGCGUAGAAGAAAGGUGAAUGAUUUGCAUUCAUAUAAUAAUUGCACUUGUGUAGAAGAAAUUAAGGUGAAUGAUUUGCAUUCAUAUAAUUAACUGAUAAUUAGUACAUAUGUUCCAUCUCACUAUUGAAAUGCAAACUCUUCAUUAUUAUCAAUACAUAAUUACAUUUACAUAUAUGAUAAGUUCGAUGAUCGGGUUUAUGCCAAGAUAAUCCAAGGUGAAGCUGAAUCCAGCAUCCAAGUUAUCUAUUUGGAAUUCAUGCUUUGGAGGGUCGGUUGAAGGAGUUCUUUCUUGCAGUUGCCAAGACAGUCUUGUCAGCUACAAUGAAAUAUGCUGCUCCCGCCACUGAUGACAAAAUGUUAUAGUCAGAUGACUAAUUCGAACAAUGAUAUGGCUUUGAGGAGAUCAUGGAAGCACUAUGGAUUGGAUGAGUAAUAUUUACCUGUGGAAAUUAUGAGAGCUUGAGCAGUGUGAUUGAGAUUUGCUCUUGCCCAAGGUAGCAUCCUUACACUAGCCAGCUGCUUAUGAUCAAAGCAUAAUUCCAGUUAGUUAUUUAUAAAAAUAAAAAUUUCUAUUUGAAUAUUAAGAAGUGGAAGGUUAAUCUAAUCGUAAAUUGAUCGUGAUUCAUGAUUCAUGGGAACUUUAUGUAAAAAAUAAUUGAGUAGGUGGAAGGAUUACUUACAGUUGGAAUGGCAGUGGCAAUAGUAGCAGCAACAGCUGCCUUGGCUCCUGCCAUCGCACCCUCUGUUUACACACAAAUAAAAAAUGUAAAUUGAAACCAUGUAAUUCAGAUAUCGAGAAAUUUGCAAACUCAUUAAUGACCAUAAUUCUGAACCAUAUAGAAUGCUUUUACACUCUCAAAGUAUACAUUACCA